GGGCACCUCCGGGGGCCUACACCAAUGGCGGAUGCGUCCGCCCAAACAUAGCCCCGGGCAAAAUCCGGGGCACUGCUAACGGAAGACAGAAA
Molecule: non-coding RNA, 92 nt
Submitted as: unclassified sequences
Source: Rfam